Molecule: ribosomal RNA, 468 nt
Filed under: uncultured bacterium
Lineage: Bacteria
Description: partial 16S ribosomal RNA
Rfam family: Bacterial small subunit ribosomal RNA
Source: RNAcentral
GACGAACGCUGGCGGCGUGCUUAACACAUGCAAGUCGAACGGAAAGGCCCUGCUUUUGUGGGGUGCUCGAGUGGCGAACGGGUGAGUAACACGUGAGUAACCUGCCCUUGACUUUGGGAUAACUUCAGGAAACUGGGGCUAAUACCGGAUAGGAGCUCCUGCUGCAUGGUGGGGGUUGGAAAGUUUCGGCGGUUGGGGAUGGACUCGCGGCUUAUCAGCUUGUUGGUGGGGUAGUGGCUUACCAAGUCUUUGACGGGUAGCCGGCCUGAGAGGGUGACCGGCGACAUGGGGACUAAGAUACGGCCCAGACUCGUACGGGAGGCAGCAGUGGGGAAUAUUGCACAAUGGGCGGAAGCCUGUUGCAGCAACGCCGCGUGCGGGAUGACGGCCUUCGGGUUGUAAACCGCUUUCGCCUGUGACGAAGCGUGAGUGACGGUAAUGGGUAAAGAAGCACCGGCUAACUACGUG